UACGAAGGGGGCUAGCGUUGCUCGGAAUCACUGGGCGUAAAGGGCGCGUAGGCGGCGUUUUAAGUCGGGGGUGAAAGCCUGUGGCUCAACCACAGAAUGGCCUUCGAUACUGGGACGCUUGAGUAUGGUAGAGAUUGGUGGAACUGCGAGUGUAGAGGUGAAAUUCGUAGAUAUUCGCAAGAACACCGGUGGCGAAGGCGGCCAACUGGACCAUUACUGACGCUGAGGCGCGAAAGCGUGGGGAGCAAACAGG
RNAcentral lists this ribosomal RNA (253 nucleotides) under uncultured bacterium. RNAcentral describes it as "partial 16S ribosomal RNA". It matches the Rfam family "Bacterial small subunit ribosomal RNA", at positions 524 to 776 of the family's 1533-position model. The record is from RNAcentral.